This 375-nucleotide ribosomal RNA is filed under the name uncultured bacterium. RNAcentral describes it as "bacterial SSU rRNA". It matches the Rfam family "Bacterial small subunit ribosomal RNA", at positions 524 to 898 of the family's 1533-position model. The record is from RNAcentral.
UACAGAGGGUGCGAGCGUUAAUCGGAAUUACUGGGCGUAAAGGGCGCGUAGGUGGUUAUGUAAGAUCGAUGUGAAAUCCCUGGGCUUAACCUAGGAACUGCAUCGGUGACUGCAUAGCUGGAGUACUGUAGAGGGUAGUGGAAUUUCCGGUGUAGCGGUGAAAUGCGUAGAGAUCGGAAGGAACACCAGUGGCGAAGGCGGCUACCUGGACAGAUACUGACACUGAGGCGCGAGAGCGUGGGGAGCAAACAGGAUUAGAUACCCUGGUAGUCCACGCUGUAAACGAUGAAGACUAGAUGUUGUUCAGCAUGACUGAUUAGUAUCGAAGCUAACGCGAUAAGUCUUCCGCCUGGGGAGUACGGCCGCAAGGUUAAA